CCCUUCCCCUGGCACGCCGCACAGUCCCGCUCCCUCCCUCCCAGUAACGGAGGUGAAGGUGACAGAGGUGAAGCCGAAGGAGGUGCAGCUGUCUGUGGAGCGAGUUCCUGGGACUCUGUCCACUGCAAGCAAAUCGGUGCAAGUCAACGGUGCUGCCACAGAGCAGAGGAAGCCCUCCUACGCCGAGAUCUGCCAGCGGGUGAAGGAUACCCCGACGUUACAGCAACCAACCACCCCUAAGGAAGCUAAGCCAGCCUGCGCCGCCACAGCAGGCGAGGAGAGGAAGUGCCCCGACGCCUCCACGCCUUCAGGGGAGGCCAAGGCCAGAGAGACUUACCACCCCUCCUCCAAACCCAGUUCAACGGGUGCCACCACAGGCAGACCCCCGAAGGAGGUCCGAAGGCCGGGUGGGCGGUGGGCCUCUCCGCCCCCACACCCAGGGAAAACCCCCAACAAAGAUUCCCACCACACCCCACCCAAAUCCCCGCAGUAGGGUGACCUCCUUUCCCUCCCCAAGUCCUCCAACCCCACUACUAUGCUCCACAGAUGCGUUUAAAAAAAUAAAGGAAAUACAAGUCAGGGCUACUCGAUACUUAUAUCCCAGAAUCACCCGUCACAAACAAGCAUAGAGGACGCCUUCUUUUCUGGAUCAGGGCUUGCAGACAAAAAGCACUUUACUGUGCAUGUAGAGCACCGUUUCUUUUUCUUUAUAUUCUAUUUAUUGUUUUUGGUUUUUCACUUUUAUUUCUCCUUUUCUCUUUUUGCAUUACGUAGUGGUGUCAGCCUGUCAGGUGGCACAGACAACACUGAAAUUUGUUCAUUCUGUCCAAACGGCCUUGUGGGAUUAAAUUAGCCGCGCGUGUGUGUGUCUGCGCGUGUGUGUGUCUGCGCGUGUGUGUGUGUGUGUGUGUGUGUGUGUGUGUGUGUGUGUGUGUGUGCGCGCGCGCGCGCAUGUGUGGGAAGCAGCAGGGCAUUGUUGGAAGCCACCCCAAAGGAUGAUGGGAAAGGGUGCAUAAAACAGACUCCAUCUUGUUUGGCUGUCAUAAUGAGGGGUUUGUUUGCAUGUUGAGUGGCAGCAUUGUGCAACUUUAAGUGGCUUAAUUAUGGGUCAUUAUUAGUCCUUUUGUUUUUAAAUACAUAUUCACAUCCAUAUGCAACUCAACAUCACAAGAAGACUUGGAUCCUUUGGUUUACAUAGAAUUUUUUGCAGGUUUGUUUACACUAGGUGGCUUUUAUGUCUUUUUGGGGUUUUUUGCAAACUGUAGUUGGCUGUUGGUACAGUAAUUGGUCAUCCUCCCCUCGGCGUCUUCUCCCUCUGAUCCUGUUCUUAAAGGAUCACCCCUCCUGCUGUUAUUCCCUCUCUGUUUUGCUAACAUGCUAACUCACCAUAGUGUGCGUCUGUGGCUUAACGUGGGGUCAGCGCUGUUUUGUUUUUUGUUUUUUUUAGUAUCACACAGGAAGGGCACAUGACUUUUCUCUAAAAUGAGGCAUCUUGUUGUAACAGUGAAAGUAGGUGAGGUGUUGCUCACACUGCAUAUGAGUCUGCAGACAUUUAACUAGUCAGGAAGCUAAAUUCUCUCCCCGCUUUUCAUUUCCUGUCAAACUGUUGAUCAUUAUUGUGGAAGGAAGGAAGAUGCAGGGCAGGUUUUAGGCUGACAAACUUAAAAAUCGAGCGGUGACGAGGAAGCCGCUUCUUCCCAUCUGAAAGGGUUUUGUUUAUUCUGGAGGCGAGGGAACGCUGGCAAGCAGGAAGGAGGAAAUUAACACUAGCUACCAGCUAUCAGCUCAGUAAACACGUCUGUUUACAGGCGCCGAACGGAGGGUUUUUUGGUUUUUGUUUAAUUUUCUGGAAAUCUGCUGAGACACAGUGACUCAUCAGGAGGCUGAGAUGUGUGUGAGUUUCCUGCCAUAAAAUGGGACGAGUCCAGAGUUCAGUGUGGCGAUUUGAUCCAGUGGGAAGUUUCCUGUUCAAACUGUUCAAACCUCCUUUCAAACGGUGGCAUGUUUGUAGUUCUUUCUCCUACUUAUGGUGCUAGAUAUCAAAACCUGGAAUCUGUUACUACAACUCCUCUGAUACUGUAAGUAGAAAUACUUGAUUUACAUCUGCAGACGUUUAAUUGCACUGUUGUUGUUUUCUCAGACUCUCGCAAGCAAAUUCAUGUGAUUAAUCCUACCUAAAGUGAAAAAAGGGACUAACUUUGUUUUGUUUUUUGGGGAGGAAGUUGGGGAAUGACACACACAGUUCAGUUUUCCAGGAGGGAAGUUGACGAACACCCUGCUGCAUCAUCUCCAUUGACACAAUCACUGAAGCUUUUUUGUCUUGUCGGUCAUGUUGAAGCAUCUGCGCAGCAUUAAAUUUUUGAAGACUGAUGCUUAAC
Molecule: non-coding RNA, 2378 nt
Organism: Maylandia zebra (zebra mbuna)
Lineage: Eukaryota; Metazoa; Chordata; Actinopteri; Cichliformes; Cichlidae
Source: RefSeq, a predicted model, not a curated record